UGCCCUGGGCACCCUGAGCACCAUACUAUGUGGAGCCCUCAUCAGCUGCCUGACUGGCCCCACCAAGCGCAGUGCCCUGGGUCCCGGUCUGCUGUGGUGGGACCUCACACGGCAGACGGCAUCGGUGGCCCCCAAGGAAGAAGUGGCUGCCCUGGAUGACAGCCUGAUGAAGCAGGGUGCUGAGGAAUUGCCUUUGGGAAUCAAGAAGCCUCCUGACUUCCUGUCCACUAAUGAGGACCAUCUGCUCUUUCUGGGGCAGAAGGAGGUGAAUGGAGCCAGCUCCAAGACCCCAGGCAGUGAACAUGACAAAGGUGGAUGCUGAGGCCUGGAAAGGGGCAUUGACUUGGCCAAGGUCACAAAGCCAACCAGAGACUCAUGGAGAGCAGCUCUCCUUCCUUCAUCCCCUCCCUGUUUUCCUCCCUGUGGAGGGACAGACAUCACACAUGCUCUGAUCUUGGGGACAGGAGGGGAGGAAGAAGGAGAAAUAACAUCUUCAGCGUCUAGACACUUUAUGCAUCUCAUUUAUUAAGGACCAUGAACCCACUUCACAGAGGAAGAAACUGAGGCUCAGCGAGGUUGCCUGAGGUCACACAGGGAGUUGGGUCGGGGUAGGGAUAAGCCUGGUGCUGCAUGAUGCUGAGGCUCCAUUGACAACAUGUCACUGGUGUUCAGGGUCAGAUGGGCCCGGCUAGCUCAUGUGCCAGGGGCUUCGUCCACAUCGAAUAAAGGGACUCUCGAUGUUCUGGUCUCUCUGGAAAAGCAUUCUGGUCAUUGCCUCAGAUCUCCUCAGUCUGAGUGUGGGUCUCUGUAUCCCUUGCCUCAAGCCUGCAAAGAAUAAAUUUGCGUAUUUAAA
Molecule: long non-coding RNA, 853 nt
Filed under: Sus scrofa (pig)
Lineage: Eukaryota; Metazoa; Chordata; Mammalia; Artiodactyla; Suidae
Description: lncRNA (ENSSSCG00015024783.1)
Source: RNAcentral